RNAcentral lists this ribosomal RNA (466 nucleotides) under uncultured bacterium. RNAcentral describes it as "bacterial SSU rRNA". It matches the Rfam family "Bacterial small subunit ribosomal RNA", at positions 329 to 792 of the family's 1533-position model. The record is from RNAcentral.
GGCCAGACUCCUACGGGAGGCAGCAGUGAGGAAUAUUGGUCAAUGGUCGGGAGACUGAACCAGCCAAGCCGCGUGAGGGAGGAAGGUACAGAGUAUCGUAAACCUCUUUUGUCAGGGGACAAAGACUGGGACGCGUCCCCGGAUGAGUGUACCUGAAGAAAAAGCAUCGGCUAACUCCGUGCCAGCAGCCGCGGUAAUACGGAGGAUGCGAGCGUUAUCCGGAUUUAUUGGGUUUAAAGGGUGCGCAGGCGGGAAGACAAGGGCGGGGGUAAACGCCGGGGCCCCACCCCGGCCGAGCCGUUGAAACUGGCUGUCUUGAGAUGUCGAGAGGUAUGCGGAAUGCGCAGUGUAGCGGUGAAAUGCUUAGAUAUUGCGCAGAACUCCGAUUGCGAAGGCAGCAUACCGGCGGCGAUCUGACGCUGAGGCACGAAAGCGUGGGUAUCGAACAGGAUUAGAUACCCGAGUA